UAGGGAAUCUUCGGCAAUGGGGGGAACCCUGACCGAGCAACGCCGCGUGAGUGAAGAAGGUUUUCGGAUCGUAAAGCUCUGUUGUUAAGGAAGAACGAGUGUGAGAAUGGAAAGUUCAUGCUGUGACGGUACUUAACCAGAAAGGGACGGCUAACUACGUGCCAGCAGCCGCGGUAAUACGUAGGUCCCGAGCGUUGUCCGGAUUUAUUGGGCGUAAAGCGAGCGCAGGCGGUUAGAAAAGUCUGAAGUGAAAGGCAGUGGCUCAACCAUUGUAGGCUUUGGAAACUGUUUAACUUGAGUGCAGAAGGAGAGAGUGGAAUUCCAUGUGUAGCGGUGAAAUGCGUAGAUAUAUGGAGGAACACCGGUGGCGAAAGCGGCUCUCUGGUCUGUAACUGACGCUGAGGCUCGAAAGCGUGGGGAGCGAACAGG
Molecule: ribosomal RNA, 429 nt
Filed under: Bacteroidota bacterium
Lineage: Bacteria; Pseudomonadati; Bacteroidota
Also listed under: 1 other name
Description: Bacteroidetes bacterium partial 16S ribosomal RNA
Rfam family: Bacterial small subunit ribosomal RNA
Source: RNAcentral